GUUCGCUGCCGCAUAGGCAGCUCAGAAA
RNAcentral lists this non-coding RNA (28 nucleotides) under Kushneria marisflavi. The record is from RNAcentral. RNAcentral also lists the same sequence under 6 other names. Lineage: Bacteria; Pseudomonadati; Pseudomonadota; Gammaproteobacteria; Oceanospirillales; Halomonadaceae.